GAUAAGCAUAAGAAAAGCAAAUCGAAGAGAAGAGAAACAACGCAACAAUUGGAAAAAAAAAUGGCGUCUAAGGCUAUCUUCUCCACAAUCCGCCGAUCUCUAACGAAACCACGCGGCGGCGCAGUUUCCCGAGGCCACCACUUGUCCACCUCCGCCGCGACGGCGUCCGAAUCCUACGCAGGCGACGAACACGCGAUCGUGAUGAAAGGAGUUCGAAUCUCAGGCAGGCCUCUCUACCUCGAUAUGCAGUCGACGACCCCGCUCGACCCCAGAGUCUUCGACGCGAUGAACGCCUCUUCCAUCUACGACUACGGGAACCCGCACUCGCGCACGCAUCUCUACGGCUGGGAAGCGGAGAACGCCGUCGAGGUGGCUCGAAUCCAGGUCGCGAAGCUCAUCGGCGCCUCGCCGAAGGAGAUCGUGUUCUUGUCCGGCGCCACGGAGGCGAACAACACGGUGGUGAAGGGCGUGAUGCACUUCUACAAGGACAAGAAGAGGCACGUGAUCACCACGCAGACUGAGCACAAGUGCGUUCUCGACUCGUGCAGGCAUUUGCAGCAGGAAGGCUUCGAGGUAACGUACUUGCCGGUUAAAACCGACGGUUUAGUUGAUUUAGAGAUGCUGAGAGAUUCUAUUAGACCGGAUACCGGUUUAGUUUCGGUUAUGGCUGUGAACAAUGAGAUUGGCGUGGUGCAACCUAUGGAGGAGAUUGGUAGGAUUUGCAAGGAGCAUAAGAUCCCGUUUCAUACCGAUGCUGCUCAAGCUAUAGGGAAGAUACCUGUUGAUGUUGAGAAGUGGAACGUUAGUUUCAUGUCGAUGAGUGGGCACAAGAUCUACGGACCGAAAGGUGUUGGUGCUAUGUACGUUAGAAGGAGGCCGAGGGUGAGGCUCGAGCCGUUGAUGAACGGUCCGGUGAGUUGCCGCCGUAUCUAUGCUAUGGGAAGAAACUUGAAAAGCUAAUUAGUUUCAGUAAUCAGUUAAGCGGCGAGAUCCCGGAAACUUACGGUGAGUGCGACUCGCUUAAUUAUAUUAGAAUGGCGGAUAACAAACUCUCCGGCGAAGUUCCGGUUAGGUUUUCGGAGCUUCCUCUUACUCGUCUCGAGCUAUCCAACAACCGAUUACAAGGUUCGAUUCCUCCGUCGAUAUCCAAAGCUCGUCAGCUCUCUCAGCUCGAAAUCUCCGGAAACAAGUUCUCCGGUGCGAUUCCGGUGAGAAUCUGUGAUCUCGGAGGACUCAGGGUCGUCGAUCUCAGCCGUAACCGUUUCUCAGGAUCUAUCCCGUCUUGCAUUAACAGAUUGAAGAAUCUGGAGAGAUUGGAGAUGCAGGAGAACAUGCUCGACGGCGAGAUCCCGAGUUCGGUGAGUUCAUGCGCCAAGUUAACCGAGUUGAAUCUCUCCGAUAACCGCCUCCGCGGCGGAAUCCCACCGGAGCUCGGGGAAUUACCGGUUUUGAACUAUCUGGAUCUCUCCAACAACCAACUCACCGGCGAGGUUCCGGCGGAGUUGUUGAAGCUGAAGCUUAAUCAGUUCAACGUCUCCGAUAACAAACUCUCCGGCAAGAUCCCUUCUGGUUUUCAACAAGAUAUUUUUCUACCGAGUUUUUUGGGUAACCCGGAUCUCUGCGCCCCGGAUAUGGAUCCGAUUCGACCUUGCCGAUCCAAACCCGAGCCCCGGUUUAUCCUUUUUAUCUCCGUCGUCUGCAUCGUUGCACUAAUCGGAGCUUUGGUUUGGCUUUUUAUCAAAACCAAACCGUUAUUCCAGAGAAAACCGAACCGGACCGAUAAAGUAACCAUUUUCCAGCGGAUCGGGUUCACAGAGGAAGACAUAUACCCGCAAUUAACAGAAGAUAACAUAAUCGGGUCGGGCGGGUCGGGUUUGGUUUACAGAGUGACACUCAAAUCAGGCCAAACGCUCGCGGUGAAGAAACUUUGGGGUGGACCGGGUCAUAAACCCGAAUCCGAAUCCGUUUUCAGAUCCGAGGUAGAGAUUCUGGGUCGGGUCAGACAUGGUAACAUAGUGAAGCUUCUCAUGUGCUGCAGCGGCGAAGAGUUUCGGUUUCUAGUGUACGAGCAUAUGGAAAACGGCAGCUUGGGCGACGUUUUGCAUUCAGAGAAAGAACAUCGCGCCGUUUCUCCGCUGGAUUGGACGACAAGGUUUUCGAUCGCGCUUGGUGCAGCUCAAGGACUUGCUUAUCUACAUCAUGACUCUGUUCCGGCGAUUGUUCACCGUGACGUCAAAAGCAAUAAUAUAUUGUUGGACCAUGAGAUGAAGCCACGUGUUGCUGAUUUCGGUUUGGCUAAACCGUUGAAAAGAGAAGACAAUAAUGGUGUCUUUGAUGUUUCUCCUAUGUCUUGUGUUGCUGGAUCCUACGGCUACAUUGCUCCAGGUUCGAAUUCUAAAUGCUAAACCGAAAUAACAAAUAUUUUUUACUGUUAUUUUUUAUUCUGUUGUUGUGAUUGCACAUGCAGAAUAUGGUUAUACGUCGAGAGUGAAUGAGAAGAGCGAUGUGUAUAGUUUCGGUGUCGUGUUACUCGAAUUGAUUACGGGUAAAAGGCCAAAUGAUUCUUCGUUUGGGGAGAAUAAAGACAUUGUUAAGUUUGCAAUGGAGUCAGCUUUGUCUUACUCUUCUCCAUCACCUGAAGACAAAGCUAUGAAUCAAGAUUCACUUGGAAAUUUUCGAGAUCUUCGCAAGGUUGUGGAUCCAAAGAUGGAACUUUCUACGAGGGAAUAUGAAGAGGUAGAGAGAGUUCUCGAGAUUGCAUUACUUUGCACGUCUUCGUUUCCUAUUAGUAGGCCGACCAUGAGGAAAGUAGUAGAGCUGCUCAAAGAGAAGAAGCCACUUGAGUGAGACGGUGCUCGUUUCUUCAUCUGGUUUUAAUACUAAGAUUGUUACUUAAUCAUAGGUGGGCUACUGGAAAACUAAUUUUAAAAACUUAAAUAGCUAGUUAUCUUUUUUUUUGUUAAUUUAAAGAUUAAGAAGCAUGGACUAAGCUAUAAGAUUUUGCAAACUUUAAAUUUAAUAGUCUAAAAGACAAUUAUUGUUGAUGUUCUCGAUAAACCAAUAUACGAGGCAGAUAUAUGUACCAAUCCUCUUCGAAUAAACAGCGUUGGUGUAACUCAUGCUCCAAAAGCAUUUUGCAUCACCAUCAAGAGUGUUUUUGCUUCAAGAGGGAUCUAUGUUCAAGUUUAUUCCAAGACUUACAUUGAAGACAAAUGCCGAUGUUUGAAUUGUUAGUACCUUCUACUCUUGCUCGUUUUAUCUUAAAUUAAUCAAGAGUUUUAUUGACGUUAAUCUAAAGAUAUGAUAGCUUUUGUAGUCCAAUUAAUAAUCUCAUUAAAGAUUCAUGUUAAAAUUGAGUUCAAAUUUCAGAAAGACGAUUCAUUUACCCAUUAUACCACCAGUUAAAUAAGAACUUAACAUUUUUUUGGUUAUAGUAAAAAUAUAAUUUUAGACAAUUGAUCUUCAUAAAUCAGUUAAUAGAUAUACAUAUACAAUUGUAAUAUGUAAAUUUUCAUAAGACAUAUGUCAGUUGUAGAGUUCAUGAUAGCAUAAAUAAAAAUGCUAAACAUGAAUUUUUACAGUUGUCCAGUUUAGAAUGUAAUAAUAAUAAAUAUAAAUUAAUGUUGGAAACACAAAUGUUUUUCUUUUACAAACUAAAAAAACUCUUGGGCCAAAGAAUAUGGUAUUGGGCAGUAACAUCUGGCCCAUUAGAUAUCCACAAGCCUUCUUCUUUCAAUUUAGGGCUCCAGAGACGACCACGUCGCCUCUGUCACGAAACCGCCAGUGACGCUAUCGUCUUUCACAUCCGAUAAGCAUAAGAAAAGCAAAUCGAAGAGAAGAGAAACAACGCAACAAUUGGAAAAAAAAAUGGCGUCUAAGGCUAUCUUCUCCACAAUCCGCCGAUCUCUAACGAAACCACGCGGCGGCGCAGUUUCCCGAGGCCACCACUUGUCCACCUCCGCCGCGACGGCGUCCGAAUCCUACGCAGGCGACGAACACGCGAUCGUGAUGAAAGGAGUUCGAAUCUCAGGCAGGCCUCUCUACCUCGAUAUGCAGUCGACGACCCCGCUCGACCCCAGAGUCUUCGACGCGAUGAACGCCUCUUCCAUCUACGACUACGGGAACCCGCACUCGCGCACGCAUCUCUACGGCUGGGAAGCGGAGAACGCCGUCGAGGUGGCUCGAAUCCAGGUCGCGAAGCUCAUCGGCGCCUCGCCGAAGGAGAUCGUGUUCUUAUCCGGCGCCACGGAGGCGAACAACACGGUGGUGAAGGGCGUGAUGCACUUCUACAAGGACAAGAAGAGGCACGUGAUCACCACGCAGACUGAGCACAAGUGCGUUCUCGACUCGUGCAGGCAUUUGCAGCAGGAAGGCUUCGAGGUAACGUACUUGCCGGUUAAAACCGACGGUUUAGUUGAUUUAGAGAUGCUGAGAGAUUCUAUUAGACCGGAUACCGGUUUAGUUUCGGUUAUGGCUGUGAACAAUGAGAUUGGCGUGGUGCAACCUAUGGAGGAGAUUGGUAGGAUUUGCAAGGAGCAUAAGAUCCCGUUUCAUACCGAUGCUGCUCAAGCUAUAGGGAAGAUACCUGUUGAUGUUGAGAAGUGGAACGUUAGUUUCAUGUCGAUGAGUGGGCACAAGAUCUACGGACCGAAAGGUGUUGGUGCUAUGUACGUUAGAAGGAGGCCGAGGGUGAGGCUCGAGCCGUUGAUGAACGGUGGAGGGCAAGAGAGGGGGCUUAGGAGCGGGACGUUGGCUACGCAGCAGGUUGUUGGGUUUGGGGUUGCUUGUGAGUUGGCGAUGAAGGAGAUGGAGUAUGAUGAGAAGUGGAUCAAGAGGUUGCAGGAGAGGUUGCUGAAUGGGGUUAGGGAGAAGCUCGAUGGGGUUGUGGUGAACGGUUCGUUGGAGAGUCGGUAUGCUGGGAAUUUGAAUCUGUCGUUUGCUUAUGUUGAAGGAGAGAGUUUGUUGAUGGGUUUGAAGGAAGUUGCGGUGUCUAGUGGAAGUGCUUGCACGAGUGCGAGUUUGGAGCCGUCUUAUGUGUUGAGAGCUUUGGGUGUGGAUGAGGAUAUGGCUCACACUUCGAUUAGGUUUGGAAUCGGUAGGUUUACUACGGAGGAAGAGAUUGAUAAAGCCGUGGAGCUUACGGUUAAACAAGUUGACAAGUUGAGGGAGAUGAGCCCGCUUUAUGAGAUGGUUAAAGACGGUAUUGAUAUCAAGAACAUACAGUGGUCUCAGCACUGAUUCAGCUCAAACCAGUGCGGUACAAGAGGGAAGCUCGGGUCUCCGGUUGUACCGGGUGAUCUGAUCCUGAGUUGUUACUAUGUUAUGUUGGUAAUUUAUCUAUGUUUGCUUUCUAGAUAGAUUACAAGUGAGAGAGUGUCGUUAUAUGGUUUUGUAAUAACCAGAGCACGAACUAAACUCUAAGUUUCUAUGUUGGACUUGCAGAAUAAGUAAGGCGAAAACGUUAAUGUAACGGUCCAUUUAUUAAUAUCUUAUUCGUGUUAAAGUGUAUACUCUGCACUUCUCAAAUCAAAGGCAGACUCUGCUGCACCUGUUCCACUCUCUAAGCUUUACUGAUAGUUACUUAGAUGGAACAAGCAGCGUGUAUCUAGAGGAGCUACAAAGAGCAAUCCCAACAUUGUUGAUGAGUCGUGGGAUAACUUGUUUAAAAAAUUCGUGGACCAAGCUGAUACAUCGCCUGGAAUCUCGGGGCAAACCAUUCAAGAAAGCAUGCGUUUGUUGUUGCUUGUCAGAGCUUACCAGGUUAAUGGUCACAUGAAGGCCAAGCUCGACCCUUUGGGACUAGAGGAAAGAGAGAUUACAGAGGAUCCCACGCCUGGUCUCUUAAGGAGCAAACUGUUCUUGUUCGAGCUCUUCAACGUGAGCCCAUGGCAUCACCCCUGCCCUCCCUUAGAUGAUCCAUUGCAAAAGAAUUAACAGCUUGAGCUCUUGAGAAUCUGAACAAAUAAGAGAGAACAAAUCCAUAAUAGAAAAAAUAUAUAUAAAUAAGUAGUUUAGUGCACUGGUUUGAAUAAAUCCAUGUAAACUGUCAGUAUUAUCAUAAAUCGUAGAAGAUUCAAGAAAGGUGUUUGUAAAUAAUUCUUAUUUUGGGUUAAAAGUUGUAAUACUGGCAAACAAGAUAUAUGGGUUGGCUAUACACCAAAACACAUCUGUCAAGUUACUAAAAGAGAGAGAUCUUCAAGAAUCAUUCUCUCAGUAUUUUAAUUUCAAAAAUCAUUCUCUCAAUAUUUUAACUUACAAAUACAUUAUACUCAUCUUCUAAGUGAAAGACAGCAUAGUAUGAAACUUUCAAAGGAUUAGAGUGAAUUAAGAAAAUCUAAAUUUUAAUUUAUAUAUACAGUCUUGUAAAGAGUCGAAUAAUCUUAAUUACCAUAUUUAAUCACCUAUUUUAAACUACAUAAUAAUAUUGAAAAAAAUUGGAUUUAGCCGCUUAAAACGAAUACGUGAAAGCCUUUAAAUUAAAACGCUACUACUUUCGCUGAUACUUUUUGGACUAGUUGAAUAUAAAACCAUUUUGACCUAAAAAAAAAAAAAGAAAGAGAGAGAGACUAGACUACACUGCGACCGAGUAUCUUCUUCUUCAGAUAUAUAGAGAGAGAGAAGAGACUACAGUCGCGAUUCUGAUCGUAGAUCGGUGAAAACUUUUGGCGGUUCGAUUAGUUACCGCGAUGGCGACGUCUUCUAGCUCGGAGCGAGUCCCGAGAACACCGGCUACUACCAGAUUAGCGAUUACGCCUGGGUCUAGGGUUUUGAAAAGCCCUAUCAGCGAAGAAAUCAUGUGGAAGCGUCUCAAGGAAGCUGGAUUCGAUGAACAGUCGAUCAAAAAGAGGGAUAAAGCCGCCUUAAUCGCUUACAUCGCCAAGCUCGAAUCCGAGGUUCGCUUUUUUUUCUUUCGAUUCUUCCCUAAUUUUCUUUCUCCGAUGAAAAUCUCUUGUAGAAUUACACAGUGUUUAAGGCUUUAGCGAGUGUUUUUGGGCUAGAAAUUAAAGGCUGUUAGAAGCUUGUGCCUAAUAGUUCAAUUUUGAGUUGAUAUGAAUUUGAUUUUUCCCGGCUAAGUAAGUAAGGAGAGCAACUGUUCCAUACCGUUCGUUUUGUUGAACAUUUAUUGUAUGGAAUUGGUUUUGAUGGAGAGUUAUUAUUGCUUUGCUUUUUGGAAGUCUUUAAAGUCUCGAUUUUUGUUUCUCUUUUCAGCUUUGAUUCUUUUUUAGAUUGUUUUUAUUUAUGUUGAUCGUAAUUUUGGAUGUUAGGUGUAUGAUUACCAACACAACAUGGGUCUUCUAAUCAUGGAGAAAGACGAUUUGCUGUCCAAGUAUGAGGAGGUUAAGUCCUCUGUUGAUGAAGCCGACCUUGCACAUCGGCGCGAUCUGUCUGCCUAUGUCUCCGCCUUGGCUGAAGCCAAGAAACGAGAAGAGAGUUUGAAGAAAGAUGUCGGGGUUGCUAAAGAGUGUAUCUCUAGUGUAAGUCCUUCCUUAACUUUUGAGAGCUGGCAAAAAAGGGUUUUUUUCAAUUUUUUUAAUUGAUUUUGUUUUCUUCUGUUUGUCCUCAGCUGGAGAAGACUGUGCAUGAGAUUCGUGCAGAGUGUGCCGAGACGAAAGUUUCCGCUGAGAGUAAACUGUCUGAAGGUCACAGUAUGAUUGAGGAUGCUCUCAAGAAAUUUGCAGAUGCUGAAGCAAAAAUGCGCGCAGCUGAGGCUCUACAGGCUGAAGCUAACCGGUAUCACCGGAUUGCAGAGAGAAAAUUGAAGGAAGUUGAGAGCCGUGAAGAUGAUCUUGCUCGCCGUCUUGCAUCUUUCAAGUCUGAGUAAGUUUUCUGUCUCUGUUAACUGGACUAUAAGGCAUUUGUGGUAUUAAACUGUUUUCAUUCGUUCUAUGGUUUAGGUCUGAAACAAGAGAGAGCGAGAUCGUUAUUGAGCGACAGACUCUAAGUGAGAGGCGAAAGAGCUUGCAGCAAGAGCAUGAAAGAUUAUUGGAUGCACAAGCUUCCCUAAACCAGCGAGAAGAUCACAUUUUUGGUAAAUCCCAAGAACUAGCUGAACUUCAGAAGGGGUUAGAGUCUGCAAAGAGUACAUUUGAGGAGGAACGUAGAGCCUUUGAGGACAGAAAAUCCAAUUUGGAGAUCGAGCUGGCUUCGCUUGCUAGAAGAGAAGAGGUUUGUAUACACAUAUCUUUUGUUUCUACUGCUGCUCAACACGUCAACCAAAGAACUUAUAGCAUUAUGUUUUGUUCCCUUGCAAUAACAGGCUGUCUCUGAAAGGGAAUCUUCACUACUUAAGAAAGAGCAAGAGCUGCUUGUUGCUGAAGAAAAAAUUGCCACUAAAGAAUCUGUGAGUUUACUUGUUCAUUCUAACGAACUUUGUAGUUAUCAUUCAUACUUUAGUUUGCAAGAGUUAAAAUGCUUUUAAACUAUCAAUACACAGGAGCUGAUUCAGAAGGUCUUAGCAAAUCAAGAGGUUAUCCUGAGGAAAAGAAAAUCCGAUGUGGAAGCUGAGUUGGAAAGCAGGUACAAAGCGGUGGAAGAUGAAAUCGAGAGCAAGAGACGGGCUUGGGAACUAAGAGAGGUUGAUAUCAGGCAGAGGGAAGACCUUGUUGGUGAAAAGGAACAUGACUUGGAAGUUCAGUCAAGGGCAUUGGCAGAGAAAGAAAAGGACAUAACGGAGAGGUCUUAUAAUCUUAACGAGAAAGAGAAGCAUUUGAAUGCUUUAGAGGAAGAUAUUUUUGAAAGAAAAAGUUUAAUCUAGUAUUGUAUGCUUUCAAAAGCUUCCAAUUCUGUAUACAUACAAAUUGACCAAAUUUUGAGCUUAUUUGUUCGUUUCCUAGGAUUUGAGUAUAUUAAAUAACAAUUUUAUAAAUUAAUCGGGAUAAGAAAGGAAAAAUAUCGUUGUGGACUUAUUAAAUAAUGGUAUUUUAGUGUCGUUAAAUGAUUAGCCUUUACGCGUUUCCGUCACCGCCGGACCGUCCCUUGUUAUGACCAUAUCCCUUUAGAGACUAAACAUGGCAAUUAGAAAUCACUAUUUAUACAAAAGCUGUGACAUUAUACGAAAUUAUCUUAUCAGAAACUGGAAAUCCGACAUGAGAUUGAAGAACUGAAGAAGUUGGAGAAUCUGAAAGUUGCUUUAGAUGACAUGUCCAUGGCUAAAAUGCAGCUCUCCAAUUUGGAGCGUAGCUGGGAAAAGGUUUCUGCUCUGAAGCAGAAGGUGGAGUUGCAAAAUGGAGUCAGCACUGUGAGUAAUAGCGAAGAUGGCUAUAACAACUCUUCUAUGGAAAGACAAAACGGCGCAAGCCCUUCAUCCGCAGCUCCACUUUCAUGGAUUAAACGAUACACUAAUCGGAUAUUCAAGACUUCUCCAGAGUCUCCAGAGAAAUCACCUCCAAUGCAUCAUCAUGAAGAAGAGAGAGGAUUGCCUUCAGAAAAGAUGAAGCUAGAUUCAUCGAAGGCUUACACCGAGGGGAUGUCCAUUGCAGUUGAAAGACUUGAAGCCGGAAGGAAAAGAAGAGGUAACGCAUCUGGAAAUGACUCUACUGGGCCAAGCAGUAACAAAAAGAGGAAACAUGAUGUUACCCAAAAAUCUCCUGAAGCUGAUCCCGAGAGGUAGAAUCGGAUUGCUCAAUUAACAACUUUUAUUCAUUUUUAUUUCUUAUUAUUAAAGCCUUAAUCAUUGUUCUCUCAGUGUAAUCUCAAGCCCUCGAAAUGUUCCUGAGGACAAACAUGAACUGCCACCAAGCCAAACCGAGACACCAAGUGGUACGGUAGUCAUUAGUGAAACCGUGAAGAUCACAAAAGUAACGUGUGAGACAGAGGUAAUCAACAAAGUGACAAACAUUGAUUGCUCAGAAAAUCCUUCUGACGCAGGAGCAAAGAUGGUAGAGGAGAGGAAACAAGAUAGUGAUUGCAAUCAGGUAGGUUUCACACACCCUUUUGAAAGCAAAAUGUUUCUCAUUACAUUUUCAGAAAACUUCAUAACGAAUGAAUACUCUCUCGUCUUAUGCUAUAGACCAACGUGCCAGAAACAGUGACUCAGAAGGAAGUUGAGUCUGAUAACAGAGAGGAGAAGGAUUCUGAGGAUGGUGGCAUUGUAACAUGAGUCAGGUUGAGGAAUAAUUGAUAACAGUUUUAGGAAGAAGAAAGCUGCGACAGGAGAUAUAUGCAUAUAAGGUACAUCUCAGACUUCACCAAGCAAACCCCCACACUUGAGAUAAAGCUCAUCAAAUUCGCUAACAAGAGUUCUCGUUUGUUGAUGCAGGAACUCUCAUGGAUCCUUUUGGGUUUGUUUUUAGAUAAAGAUUUGAGUAUGUAAAUGGAUUUGAUUGGUUUUUAAAACUCUGAGAUUCCAAGUGAGUAGAGUGUUGUGGUAUGUUAAGUAGGUAGGAAGAAGAGAGUAUGAUUUGUUGGUUUCUCUUGUGCUGCAUUGUGUGUCUGAGAACAUCAUUUGUUGGUUUCAAGACGGUUGAAUUCAGUUUAGGGGUUUUAUUUGCUGGUCUUGUGUUUAAGAUGUCUUUUUAGCUCAUCUCAGCACGUCUCUACUCUGCCUUUCACAUUCGCUAUAUCCAGCUACAAAAGUGGGCUGGCCCGGCCCAAAUGAUAGGGUUUCUUUCUAUCGUAGCCCAGAAUUUUAUGGGCAUACAAAUACCCAACAAAUAAAUUAGCAGUUAAUUGAAUGGCGAAAGGAGAAAUAUUCUCCAUCUGUUUCAUUUUAAAUGUCAGUUUGGGUUUGUGCACAGAAAAUAAUUAAUUUUAUAUAUUUCCUAUAUAAAAACACAAUUAUUUAUACACCUAACCAUAUUUCAAUCAAUAGAAAAAUAAAUUGUUAAAUAAAAUUCAUAAAUUUUGCAUUGAAAGUCGAAAACGACACUUAUUUUGUAACGAAAAAAUUUCUCUACGACGACACUUAAUAUGAAACGGAGGGAAUAUUUUAUAAAAGGUUUACCUUUGGGUUUUGUAAGUAAUACUUCCAAGUCCGAACAGUUCAAUUGAGCUAAACCCAAACAAAGAAGAUGUAUUAGGUUUAGUCUUUUUUAACUUGAAUCUUCUUAGACUAUAUAGUGCAAUAAUAAACUAGAUCUCUUUUAUUGUUUUUUUUGGAUGGUUUUGUCUAUAAAAUGUAUGAACAAUAAUGUGGCUAAACAUCAGAAAGCUAUGGUGGAGAUUUGGAAACAAAUUGCGUGUGAAAUGGGUGAAAAAAUCGGCAUUGAUUUGUGGGGUUUUAAGUUUAAUGAGUGACAGCUUAAUUAUUUGUUUCCAACUUGACGUCUAUUUAUUUUAAUUAUAUAUUAAUCACUAUUUAGCUUACCCAAAAACAUAAUCUAAACCGCACUGUUUUUGUCCGUUGACAGACACAUUUCCCUCCUAUCCUGGUUCAAAUCCCUAAUGCCUGAAGUCAAUCCAAAUAAUCCAGUUGUGAUAUGUUUUCUUUAUGAAAUUUAUUUGGAGUGUAAUUUUUAAGUGCUAUAUUCUUGAGGAAGAUCUUAUAUAAACUCAUUAAGCUUUUUCUUGGGCUUGCGGUUUUUUAGUGGUUUUUAGUGAGCCGUAUUAGAUGUGGGCUUUGUAAUCGUGAUGGGCCUUGGGCCUUUAUUAAAUAAACUUUGACGGAAAAAAAAAAACUCAUUAAGCUUUUUCAAAAAAAAACUCAUUAAGCUUCUAGGACAAGAGGAGACGUCGAACUCA
RNAcentral lists this long non-coding RNA (11679 nucleotides) under Brassica napus (rape). Its description in RNAcentral is "long non-coding RNA (BNAP_LNC022552)". Lineage: Eukaryota; Viridiplantae; Streptophyta; Magnoliopsida; Brassicales; Brassicaceae. The record is from RNAcentral.